UAAACAGAAAACAGGGCAUACUUGUUAAAUAGAGAUGCGGAAAUAUGAUGAAUCUCAAUCUUUGAUGCAAAUAUGCACAACUUAUGCUUCGCAACAACGUCAACACUGGAUGAAACCAGAGGAUGAAAUUCAGUUCCUUCCGAAAUAUCCUGCGAGAAAAUGUAAAUUGUUAAUUGAAAAUUGUCAUUUAAUAUUAAGCAUAAUAUGGUUUUCAAUGUGUCAAACAGAAGUUUGUAGAAUACAAUAUAUGCUUUUUCAAACUUCUUUCAUAGAACUAAACUUGAUUGAAAAUAGC
This 295-nucleotide long non-coding RNA is filed under the name Trifolium pratense (red clover). Its description in RNAcentral is "long non-coding RNA (TPRA_LNC013241)". The record is from RNAcentral. Lineage: Eukaryota; Viridiplantae; Streptophyta; Magnoliopsida; Fabales; Fabaceae.